This is a long non-coding RNA of Dipodomys spectabilis (banner-tailed kangaroo rat), 1324 nucleotides long. RefSeq lists it as uncharacterized. The transcript has 3 exons. Lineage: Eukaryota; Metazoa; Chordata; Mammalia; Rodentia; Heteromyidae. The record is from RefSeq and is a predicted model, not a curated record.
UCCAGGUCACCGGGUGAAGGGCGCAGUGGAAAUGCCCUCUUUGAUGUUUCUGGAGUAGGCACUUGAGAUUCUAAGUGCUGUACCUAGGUGGCCUGGGAACGCCGGCAGGAGGACAGCUCCGUAAAUCCAACGUUGACCGGGUCCCUUCCUGAGAACACGGGAUUUGUCAAGGACCAAACAUGUGACGGCUUGAAGCUCUGUGGUGAAAAUAUUUCAAAGCCACUAAAAUUGGACCAAGCAACUCACAUUAAAAUCAUCUGGAAGAGUGGUUUGUAACCUAGGAAAUCAUGAAUGCUGUAAUACUGGGCUUCAAUAUUAGAGGUAAAGUUGUAAUACUGUAAUUUCAAUAGGUAAAAGUAUAAACAUGGAUAUCAUGGUAGGUGUCCAGAGAGAGAGUCAGUGGGAAAGUGAAUCAUGUGAUCACGUGUCACAUAAAGUUAAAUAAGUGUGUGAGUACAUGAAGUGUGUGCGCGCACACACAUGUGUACACACAUGCACCAGUCCACCUCAUGAAGGAAUCAAGAUUAUUUUCAACACUCACUUGUCAGAGUCUUGAGUAAUUUAUGGACACACUUGGAACCCUUACUUAGCCAGUACCAUGUUGGCUGUGAGAACCAAGAGAGGAAGCGCAGCCUCUCUGCGCGGACACUUUCUCAUCGCAGCAGAUGUGGAGGAGGCUGCCGGGCAGGUCCUCCAUACCUACCUUCUCCCAGCCAUGGGGCCAAGCUGUGUCCCUCUUUAUGGAACACAGUCUAAGCAGGCUCGAGGGGCAGAGAAGUCAAUAAACAGUUGCAAAUUGAAUCUCACUUUCCACAACAAGAGAACAAAAACCCUGGGAGGAAAGCUAUCAUCAUCAUCAUCAUCAUCAUCAUCAUCAUCAUCAUCAUCAUCAUCAUCAUCAUCAUUGCUAUCCUCAUCAUCCUGCAAUGGAUAAAGGAAAAUGCCCGGAGGUGUUUACCUGAUGUGGUCCACAACUGCCUUUUGCCUCUGAUUCCUACUGGACUCAAACGCUCAGAAGAUGCCAGGUGCACACCAGGAGGUGCCAGGUGCCCUUUUCAGGAGUGGAGUCCUGCUGCUGUUCGGUGGCCUGGCUGGAGAGGAGGACAUAUGGGUGAUGGGCCAUCCUGGCUGUGGGGUUCAGGACAAUCCUACCCGGGGACCCCCAGGGCCAUGUGGGCACGAGCGGCACAGCACAAGGCCAAGUGCAAAUUGUUUUAAAAUAUGAGAACGAGCUCUGUUCAGGUGCUGCCAAAGAGCUCUCCAUUUCAGCCCAGAGUGAUUCUGUGCGCGUUUUCUACGAUCAUCCAAUAAAGAGGCAACUGUU